Molecule: ribosomal RNA, 779 nt
Filed under: bacterium enrichment culture clone SB1-36
Lineage: Bacteria
Description: bacterial SSU rRNA
Rfam family: Bacterial small subunit ribosomal RNA
Source: RNAcentral
GACGAACGCUGGCGGUAUGCUUAACACAUGCAAGUCGAACGCGAACGGAGUAACUAAUUCGUUAGAAGCUCCUAGUAGAGUGGCGAACGGGUGAGUAACGCGUGGAUAACGUGCCUCUCAGUGGGGAAUAACACAGGGAAACUUGUGCUAAUACCGCAUACGUCCUUCCGACCCAGUUGGAAUGAUGAAAGGUGGGGACCUUCGGGCCUGCCGCUGAGAGAUCGGUCCGCGUCCCAUUAGCUUGUUGGUGGGGUAAUGGCCUACCAAGGCUCUGAUGGGUAGCCGGCCUGAGAGGGUGACCGGCCACACUGGGAUUGAGAUACGGCCCAGACUCCUUCGGGAGGCAGCAGUCGAGAAUCUUCCACAAUGGACGAAAGUCUGAUGGAGCGACGCCGCGUGAGUGAUGAAGGCCCUACGGGUUGUAAAACUCUGUCAGGAGAGAAGAACCGCCGGGGUGCCAAUACCACCCUGGUCUGACGUUAUCUCCAGAGGAAGCUCCGGCUAACUCCGUGCCAGCAGCCGCGGUAAUACGGGGGGAGCAAGCGUUGUCCGGAAUUAUUGGGCGUAAAGGGCGUGUAGGCGGCCUGGUCAGUCGAAUGUGAAAUCCCACGGCUCAACCGUGGAAUUGCGUUCGAUACUGCCUGGCUUGAGUAUGUGAGAGGUGUGCGGAAUUCCUGGUGUAGCGGUGGAAUGCGUAGAUAUCAGGAAGAACACCGAUGGCGAAGGCAGCACACUGGCGCAAUACUGACGCUGAGGCGCGAAAGCGUGGGGAGCAAACA